GGAUUAAAAACAAUACAGGUAUUUAUUGAAAAAGAUCUGUGUAUCAAUAGACCCAUGCAGUUCAAAUCUGUGUUGUUCAAGGGUCAACUGU
Molecule: microRNA precursor, 91 nt
Filed under: Pteropus vampyrus (large flying fox)
Lineage: Eukaryota; Metazoa; Chordata; Mammalia; Chiroptera; Pteropodidae
Description: miRNA (ENSPVAG00000024995.1)
Source: RNAcentral